CCGGCACGGGUGAGUAACACGUAUCCAACCUGCCGUCUACUCUUGGACAGCCUUCUGAAAGGAAGAUUAAUACAAGAUGGCAUCAUGAGUCCGCAUGUUCACAUGAUUAAAGGUAUUCCGGUAGACGAUGGGGAUGCGUUCCAUUAGAUAGUAGGCGGGGUAACGGCCCACCUAGUCAACGAUGGAUAGGGGUUCUGAGAGGAAGGUCCCCCACAUUGGAACUGAGACACGGUCCAA
Molecule: ribosomal RNA, 237 nt
Filed under: uncultured bacterium
Lineage: Bacteria
Description: partial 16S ribosomal RNA
Rfam family: Bacterial small subunit ribosomal RNA
Source: RNAcentral